GACGUAGGGCGCGAGCGUUGUCCGGAUUUAUUGGGCGUAAAGAGCCCGCAGGCGGCUUGGCAAGUUUGAGGUGAAAUCUCCCGGCUUAACUGGGAGGGGGCCUCGAAAACUGCCAGGCUUGAGGCAUGGAGAGGGAUGCGGAAUUCCCGGUGUAGUGGUGAAAUGCGUAGAUAUCGGGAGGAACACCAGUGGCGAAGGCGGCAUCCUGGCCAUGUCCUGACGCUCAGGGGCGAAAGCGUGGGGAGCAAACCGG
Molecule: ribosomal RNA, 253 nt
Filed under: uncultured bacterium
Lineage: Bacteria
Description: partial 16S ribosomal RNA
Rfam family: Bacterial small subunit ribosomal RNA
Source: RNAcentral